RNAcentral lists this small RNA (455 nucleotides) under Pan troglodytes (chimpanzee). RNAcentral's name for it is "processed transcript". The record is from RNAcentral. Lineage: Eukaryota; Metazoa; Chordata; Mammalia; Primates; Hominidae.
GAAGGCUUUUGAUCCUUUUGAGAAAUAAAGAUCUGAAAGAAAUGGCAUAAUCUUAAAACUUGAAUUUCAUCCAGGACAUCACAUUGCAUUUUGUUCUUUUGCCUCCUGAGUCUUCUCCAGUCUGUGACAGUUUCUCAUCUUUUGUUGUUUUUCAUGAUCUUGAAGACCCCUGGUCAGUCUCACCUCAUAGAUGAAAAAUGCUUCAGAAUAUAGUUAUAACUGUGAAAAGACUGUUCCUGAUGUUAUGAUAUGCUCACUGUGAAGCUUUGCAUGCACUACAGACAAAUGUUGGAAAGUCUGUCUCAACUUCAAGGGCAGUGAAUUCUGAAAGUUAAUGUGGACACAAGAGUUUCUUCUCAGAUUUCCUCCUCUGCUGCAUUUUUUUUUGAGUUAUCUUCUUUUCUGGUAUGAAAUUGUAAAUCAAGUAAGUCAGAUAUAAAAAUAUUUGCAAACAG